UCCUGGCUCAGGAUGAACGCUAGCGGCAGGCUUAACACAUGCAAGUCGGAGGGGCAGCACGUCUUCGGAUGGUGGCGACCGGCGCACGGGUGCGUAACGCGUAUAGAACCUUACCUUUACGAGGGAAUACGCCCAGAGUAAAUUGGAUUAAUCGCCCAUAGUAUUAUUAGAUGGCAUCUAUUUGAUUAAAUUAAACUAUUUAGUAGGGUAAAAGAUGGCUAUGCGUUCUAUUAGCUAGAUGGUAAGGUAACGGCUUACCAUGGCGACGAUAGAUAGGGGUCCUGAGAGGGAGAUCCCCCACACUGGUACUGAGACACGGACCAGACUCCUACGGGAGGCAGCAGUGAGGAAUAUUGGACAAUGGGCGAGAGCCUGAUCCAGCCAUGCCGCGUGCAGGAAGACGGUCCUAUGGAUUGUAAACUGCUUUUAUACAGGAAGAAACACUCCCUCGUGAGGGAAUUUGACGGUACUGUAUGAAUAAGCACCGGCUAACUCCGUG
This 499-nucleotide ribosomal RNA is filed under the name uncultured bacterium. RNAcentral's name for it is "bacterial SSU rRNA". It matches the Rfam family "Bacterial small subunit ribosomal RNA", at positions 17 to 507 of the family's 1533-position model. The record is from RNAcentral.